GAUGAACGCUAGCGAUAGGCUUAACACAUGCAAGUCGAGGGGCAGCAUGGUCUUAGCUUGCUAAGACUGAUGGCGACCGGCGCACGGGUGCGUAACGCGUAUGCAACUGGCCUCACAGAGGGGGAUAACCCGUCGAAAGACGGACUAAUACCGCGUACACUUGGGAUAGGGCAUCCUGACCCAAGGAAAUGAAAUUCGCUGUGAGAUAGGCAUGCGUCCCAUUAGCUAGUUGGUGAGGUAACGGCUCACCAAGGCGACGAUGGGUAGGGGAACUGAGAGGUUGAACCCCCACACUGGUACUGAGACACGGACCAGACUCCUACGGGAGGCAGCAGUGAGGAAUAUUGGUCAAUGGGCGAGAGCCUGAACCAGCCAAGUCGCGUGAAGGAUGACUGUCUUAUGGAUUGUAAACUUCUUUUAUACGGGAAUAACAAGAGCCACGUGUGGCUCCCUGCAUGUACCGUAUGAAUAAGCAUCGGCUAACUCCGUG
RNAcentral lists this ribosomal RNA (490 nucleotides) under uncultured bacterium. Its description in RNAcentral is "partial 16S ribosomal RNA". It matches the Rfam family "Bacterial small subunit ribosomal RNA", at positions 28 to 507 of the family's 1533-position model. The record is from RNAcentral.